Non-coding RNA from Bos taurus (domestic cattle), 73 nucleotides. The record is from Rfam. Lineage: Eukaryota; Metazoa; Chordata; Mammalia; Artiodactyla; Bovidae.
UACCUGAUAGUCCGGUUGUUAGGACUCUGCCCUUCCAUUGCUGGGGACUCAGGUUCUAUUCCUGGUCAGGGAA